GGUCCCAAUAUGAACCUGAGUUCCAAGCAGCGACCCAACUCCAGGCCACAAGCAUCAAUAGGAGCCCUGUACUCCGUUUGGCUGCAAAGCUAGAGAACAAGAGGAAGCCAUUUGUAAACCAAGCUGGCAUGGAGCACGGACCGUGAUUACCUGUCGUGAA
Molecule: long non-coding RNA, 160 nt
Organism: Eptesicus fuscus (big brown bat)
Lineage: Eukaryota; Metazoa; Chordata; Mammalia; Chiroptera; Vespertilionidae
Exons: 3
Source: RefSeq, a predicted model, not a curated record